This is a non-coding RNA of Cinara cedri, 234 nucleotides long. The record is from the annotation of a GenBank genome assembly. Lineage: Eukaryota; Metazoa; Arthropoda; Insecta; Hemiptera; Aphididae.
AUUUAAUUAAAACAAGGAAACAAAAGAAAUAGAUUUUCAAAACUGAAAGUUAAUAGGAAAUCUAUAUAAAUCUGACAAAUGUAGUUGGUGUUAUCAUGGAACAAAAACAAAAAGGAUUACAAAAAAAAGUUUCAGUAGUGAAUGUUUCGAAAAAAUCAACAAUUCAAUUCGUCACUACUGAUAAAAUGUAAAAUCUUCAGUACCUACUUGAAAUUAUUAAAAACAUUUCAAAAG